GAUGAAGAACGUAGCGAAACGCGAUAAGUAAUGUGAAUUGCAGAAUUCAGUGAAUCAUCGAAUCUUUGAACGCACAUUGCGCCCGCCAGUAUUCUGGCGGGCAUGCCUGUCCGAGCGUCAUUUCAACCCUCGAACCCCUCCGGGGGGUCGGCGUUGGGGAUCGGCACUUACCUGCCGGCCCCGAAAUACAGUGGCGGUCUCGCCGCAGCCUCUCCUGCGCAGUAGUUUGCACACUCGCACCGGGAGCGCGGCGCGUCCACGGCCGUAAAACAACCCAAACUUCUGAAAUGUUGACCUCGGAUCAGGUAGGAAUACCCGCUGAACUUAAGCAUAUCAAUAAGCGGAGGA
RNAcentral lists this unclassified non-coding RNA (348 nucleotides) under soil metagenome. RNAcentral's name for it is "partial contains 5.8S ribosomal RNA, internal transcribed spacer 2, and large subunit ribosomal RNA". The stretch from base 1 to 120 matches the Rfam family "5.8S ribosomal RNA", at positions 35 to 154 of the family's 154-position model. The record is from RNAcentral.